Molecule: long non-coding RNA, 467 nt
Organism: Cucurbita moschata (crookneck pumpkin)
Lineage: Eukaryota; Viridiplantae; Streptophyta; Magnoliopsida; Cucurbitales; Cucurbitaceae
Exons: 2
Source: RefSeq, a predicted model, not a curated record
AAUGUGAAACUUCAAAAACUCCCUCUGCCUUCCAUUUCUCUGCUUUCUUCAAUGGUUACAGUUUCGUUGAUGUAGCUUCUCGUCUAAUCUAUUGCAUCCUUAUUCCUCUUCAAGGAUGCUCUCUGUUCUUGCUUUCUUAAAGCUACAAACAUCUCCCUAUUCUCUCUUUUGACAAGGAUAUCAGCAGCCUUCAUAUACAACUCAUCUCCUUCUACAAUUCCAGGCAACCCCCUUAAAGUUUCCAUUACCUCAAGUGUACUACAUCCUGGUAAAUCUCUUCUUCUGUAUUCUAUAGCAUCACAAAGACGAUCUAAUGCCUCGAACAACCUCGAAGAAGACGAUCCAACUUUUGAAUCUUCUACUUUUUUUCUCCUUUUCUCAUUUCCUUGACUAUAAGUUGCACUCGUAUUAACUUCAUUUGUGUUAGUGUUACUUUCUACAUUGUUAAUAAACUCAUUCUCAUUCAA